UGAAUCUGCAAUGGGGGAAUUGAAACCAGGUGUGAAAAAGACAAAACGAAUGGAAAAUGAAAAGUGGAUCGGCAAUGGCUAGAAUACCGGUGACGUUGACCGCCAAGCGCCGCCCGAACAAGAAGAAGGACUGACUUCGGCGGAAGUCAUGACAGUACCCCCCUCCCCUUGAGGCGCGCGCCGACACCGGCCUCGGGGACGACCCGGAUGGAGACAGUGGAACUCCUGCAGCAUCGACGGGUCCAAUACGUCCUCCACCGGCACCCAGGAUCUCUCCUCCGGACCUUACCCCUCCCACUCCACGAGGUGCUGAAGUCCCCUCGCUAGACGCCUCGAGUCCAGUAUGGCUCGAACUGCAUACGCCGGGUCCCCCUUGAUGUCCAAAGAGGGCGGAGGAACCUCCCGCACCUCAGACUCCUGGAGUGGACCAACCACCACCGGCCUGUGUAGAGACACAUGGAACGAGGGGUUAAUAUGGUAAUCGGGGGGGAAGCUGUAACCUGUAACAAACCUUGUUCAAUCUCCUCAGGACUUUGAAUGGCCCCACAAACCGCGGGCCCAGCUUCCGGCAGGGCAGGUGGAGGGGCAGGUGGAGGAUCGAGAGCCCCGGUGUGCCGUGGCGGUCAGUGCCAGUCCUCUGACGCCUCCCGGCCCACUGAAGGUGCACAUGAGCGGUGUCCCAUGUCUCCUCCGAGCGCCUAAACCAGUCGUCCACCGCAGGGGCCUCGAUCUGGCACUGAUGCUUAGGUGCCAGAACCGGCUGGUACCCCAGUACGCACUGGAAGGGGGAGAGGACUAGAAUUAAGUCUGAGGCCGGUAACAUCAACAGUAACGACAAACCCAGCCUGCCUCUCUCAUUCCACACUGAGUCCAAACCCACAGUCACUGGGUCCUGAUUGUGACAGUGGAGCCCAGUUUGCACUGCAGGAUCCAGAAAUGGCAUCAGUGAAGGUGGAAGACUACAGUCAAACACUGGAGCUGAAUGUCGACAUUAAAGAUGAAGAAGAGGAGGAGAAGAUUGGGAAAUAUGUUAAUCAUGGAGAACAUGUUGAGACAUUCUCUACAUCCAGAGAGCAUCAGCAGGAAGAUCACAGAGCAAAGAAGUCUCACCACUGCACACAUUGUGAGGAGAUUUUCCCAUUUCUAUCAAAGCUAAAAAUACACCUAAAAAUACACACAGGAGAAAAGCUUUACUCCUGCUCUGAAUGUGGAAAAUGCUUCAAAACAUCAACUGCACUAAAAGUUCAUCAGAGAACACACACAGGAGAGAAGCCUUACUCAUGUUCUGAAUGUGGAAAAUGCUUCAAAACAUCAACUGCACUAAAAGUUCAUCAGAGAACACACACAGGAGAGAAGCCUUACUCCUGCUCUGAAUGUGGGUCGAGUUUCUCUAAUCAGUACACCUUAAAACGACAUGAACAUAUACACACAAGAAAGAAGCCUUACUCCUGCUCUGAAUGUGGGGCGAGUUUCUCUCAAAUGGGUACCUUUAAAAGACAUGAACGUAUACACACAGGAGAGAAGCCUUACUCCUGCUCUUACUGUGGAAAGAGUUUCUCUCAACAGGGUUCCUUUAAACUACAUGAACGUAUACACACAGGAGAGAAGCCUUACUCCUGCUCUUACUGUGGAAAGAGUUUCUCUCGUCCGGACACUUUAAAACAACAUGAUUGUAUACACACAGGAGAGAAGCCUUACGUAUGCUCUGACUGUGUAAAAUGCUUCAAAACAUCAACUGCGCUAAAAGUUCACCAGACAACACACACAGGAGAGAAGCCUUACUCCUGCUCUGACUGUGGAAAGAGUUUCCGUCAACUGGGCACAUUAAAACAACAUGAACG
Oncorhynchus masou masou (cherry salmon) is the source of this 1841-nucleotide long non-coding RNA. RefSeq lists it as uncharacterized. The transcript has 3 exons. NCBI's taxonomy places the organism in Eukaryota, Metazoa, Chordata, Actinopteri, Salmoniformes, Salmonidae. The record is from RefSeq and is a predicted model, not a curated record.